CCAAGGUUUUCAUGUUACACUUCAUCUGCCACGAGGAGCUCAGUCAGGACACAGACAGGUACUGACCACUUAAGCAAGUGCACUGGUCACUUUCAGAUAAAUUUUGAAUAAGGAAGAGAGCACGGGAAAAUGCAGGGAGAACUGGUUCAGAAGCUCCACGAAGAUAUUUGGAUUUCCAAAGACCAGACCCCAUGAAGUGGCUUUCCAGGUGGGAACUUGACAGAGCAGAGGCAGAUUAGUGGCACUUCUGGGUCUGAGAGGAAAAGGUACGAAGUGCACCUGCCGCACAAAGACAGACCACGGUCCCUCUUCAGACGGCUUCUGGCCACUUGAGUCACUGAAACUUCCCUGAGCAGCACAAAUACCUCUGAAACACCUUUACCCAUGGGUAACACUCAAAACACUGAACGACUGGGAUGGCCCGAGCCCUGAAUAAAGCUGGA
Molecule: long non-coding RNA, 443 nt
Organism: Mustela erminea (ermine)
Lineage: Eukaryota; Metazoa; Chordata; Mammalia; Carnivora; Mustelidae
Exons: 3
Source: RefSeq, a predicted model, not a curated record